ACAACACCGGACCGUCAGUCUACCAAGCAAUAUCACCUGCUUAGUGGAAGACCUUCCCUUUGUCUU
Molecule: microRNA precursor, 66 nt
Filed under: Bombyx mori (domestic silkworm)
Lineage: Eukaryota; Metazoa; Arthropoda; Insecta; Lepidoptera; Bombycidae
Description: mir-2774 microRNA precursor family
Rfam family: mir-2774 microRNA precursor family
Source: Rfam by way of RNAcentral